This is a long non-coding RNA of Dreissena polymorpha, 520 nucleotides long. RefSeq lists it as uncharacterized. The record is from RefSeq and is a predicted model, not a curated record. The transcript is spliced from 3 exons. Lineage: Eukaryota; Metazoa; Mollusca; Bivalvia; Myida; Dreissenidae.
CGGGCUGGGGCGGAUGCAUAGGCGGCAGAUUUCAAUACUGUAAAUACGGAUUUGAUGUUUCAGAUUGCUAUUCUCCCGCAGCCGUUUGGACAACAUCCUCGGUCACUGUUCGGGCACCACACUCCUUAACCGUUCGGACACCAUCAUCCGCCACCGCACGACUACCACCGGCCACCACCACCAUCGGAACAUCACCAUCAGCGGUUCGGGCGCCCGCAUUCGCCGCCUCAUCUCGCCCACCACCACGGACAUCCGGGUCACCACCGCGGACAUCGACAUGGACACCCAGGACCGGGCUGGGGCGGAUGCAGAGGCUGCAGAUUUUAAUACUGUGAAUACGGAUUUGAUUGUAAGACAUACUGUGUGCUGAGCAUAACUUGAUGUCAAAGAUGUGAUGUUUGAGUCAAGACAAAGCGGCACUUAACAAUAUAAAUCUGCGUAAACGUUACAUUGGACUAUUCUUCGAACGUUUGUAUCUGAAGGCAUUAUGAUAAUCAUAUUCUCACCGGUGUUAACUUGA